GACGAACGCUGGCGGCGUGCUUAACACAUGCAAGUCGAGCGGUAAGGCCCUUUCGGGGGUACACGAGCGGCGAACGGGUGAGUAAAACGUGGGUGACCUGCCCUCAGCUCUGGGAUAAGCCUGGGAAACCGGGUCUAAUACCGGAUAUGACUCCAUGACGCAUGUUGUGGGGUGGAAAGCCUUGUGCGGCUGAGGAUGGGCCCGCGGCCUAUCAGCUUGUUGGUGGGGUGAUGGCCACCAAGGCGACGACGGGUAGCCGGCCUGAGAGGGCGACCGGCCACACUGGGACUGAGACACGGCCCAGACUCCUACGGGAGGCAGCAGUGGGGAAUCUUGCGCAAUGGGCGAAAGCCUGACGCAGCGACGCCGCGUGAGGGAUGACGGCCUCGG
RNAcentral lists this ribosomal RNA (390 nucleotides) under uncultured bacterium. RNAcentral describes it as "bacterial SSU rRNA". It matches the Rfam family "Bacterial small subunit ribosomal RNA", at positions 28 to 420 of the family's 1533-position model. The record is from RNAcentral.